This is a long non-coding RNA of Musa acuminata AAA Group (dessert banana), 1751 nucleotides long. RefSeq lists it as uncharacterized. The transcript has 3 exons. NCBI's taxonomy places the organism in Eukaryota, Viridiplantae, Streptophyta, Magnoliopsida, Zingiberales, Musaceae. The record is from RefSeq and is a predicted model, not a curated record.
CUCACCCAUUCGUGUCUCUUCCUCCAAUCGCCCGACAACUGCGACGCUGCCCUCUCGGUCGCAGCCUCCGUCGGAACCACAGCCGUCGUCAAGCCGGGUGACUUCAAGGCUCAUGAGCAUAUGAAAAUUUCCUGUCCAUAGAUCAGACAUUUCUCUGGAGGGCCAGAUCCUGGUCAAAGGAAUGACAAAAAAUGGCUGAUGCAAAUUGGUGAUCAAUUGGCACAAAAAAAUCGUGGCGGAUAACGUGCUGCAUCAAGGUUCCAUUACAGACUGCAUGAACUACUUCCAACUUGGGUCAGAAAGUAUGGUGAAAGAACAAAAGAGCUUAAUCAGAUGUCAGUCUCUCUCUAUUGGGAAAUGCAUAAAAGACCACCCUUUUGAUGGCUUGAUGAUGCUCUUUAUGAAUAAAGCCCACAUUUGAAGUAAAGUGUUCUUAUGAUGGUUGUCUGAGCCCUUUCUUCUGGGAUGGCCCGAGGGUAACUUAAUGUAAACGCCAGGUUUGUGGUGGGGAUUCACAACAAGAAUCCCAGGUGCGAGGCGGCUUUUGAUCUUUUCCACCUCCUUGGAUCCGAUCUGGAAGGCCCGGGCGAGGACGUGGUCGGGCACCGGCGGGGUAGCUGCGAAGAGUGCAACGGCGAUGGACUGGGUGCCAGGAAGCUGGCUGUUGAAGGCGGCGAUGACGGCGGCAGGAGCGGCACCGUUGUUCUUCUGGAAGUGAACGAGCCCCCUGGGAAAGACGAACACCUCGCCCUUGGUAAUGGUCUUGGCUAUCAGCUUGUUGGCAGUGGUGAUGAAGCCGACGUCGAGGGUGCCGUCGAGGACGAAGACGACCUCGGUGGCACGAGGGUGGGUGUGGGGCGGGUUCAGCCCGCCGGGGGCGUAGUCAACGCGCGAUAGGGAGACGCCGAGCGUGUUCAGCCCGGGGAUCUUCUCGACGUUGGCGGCCGUCACCAGGGUGCCCAUGGUGUUGUUGGUGGCGCCGGCCGUCGCCAGCCCCUUGAAGAAGAAGUCCGCCUCUGUGACUUUUGCCGCAGGCUUGCAUGCGAAGCCAAACAACUUGACGUCUGCAGUAGCGAUCAGCUUAUAAGAGCAGGAACACGCCAUGAUCAUACACGAGAAGAGAUCAUGAAAGGGGGACGAAGUGUGAUGUUACCCGAGUUAAGAUCUGCUACGCAGAUGUCUUGGAGCUGGUCAGGAUCUGCGACAAGGCAGGGAGGGAGGACGAGGAAGAGGGAGAAGAGGAUGAGGAGGGAAAACGUGGCCAUAGCUGGUGACUUGAGUUUUAGGCUGUGGUGGGUAAAUAGAUGGGUGUAGAAGGCACGAGAAGGGUGACAAGGGAGAUGGUAUUUAUAGGAAGAGGGUUGAAGUGGUACUGAAGGAAUGAAAUGGUCCUUGGCAAGCUGUGAUGGUAUGAUACCGAAGGCAUGAAAUGAGCCUCGAACGAAAAAAAGAAAAAGGGAGGUGGUGGCAAUUAAAUAAGCAACGAAGAAAUCCAAAAAAUAUUAAUAGGAAGAGGCACUAUGGGACUGUGCUAGACCACCAUCUAAUAAUGGUUUAAUGAUCAUCUUGGAUUAAGAGGGUUGGGGAUUUUUUUUUUUUUUUUACUUUAAGGAUAAGUGAUUAGGAUCAGAUUUGUUUAAAGAUGAUAGUAUUAUUGUGUCACGUUCUUUGUUAGGAUUGUCUUUAAGGCAUCCAAACGAUACCUGCAUGUAAAGGGUCAAUGUAGAAUUUAACCUUGUGUAGUCUAACAA